GUGAGUAACACGUGGGCAACCUGCCUGUAAGACCGGAAUAACCCCGGGAAACCGGGGCUAAUGCCGGGUAACACUUUCUUCCGCAUGGAGGAGAGUUGAAAGAUGGCUUCUAGCUAUCACUUACAGAUGGGCCCGCGGCGCAUUAGCUAGUUGGUGAGGUAACGGCUCACCAAGGCGACGAUGCGUAGCCGACCUGAGAGGGUGAUCGGCCACACUGGGACUGAGACACGGCCCAGACUCCUACGGGAGGCAGCAGUAGGGAAUCUUCCGCAAUGGACGAAAGUCUGACGGAGCAACGCCGCGUGAACGAUGAAGGUCUUCGGAUCGUAAAGUUCUGUUGUUAGGGAAGAACAAGUACCGUGCGAAUAGAGCGGUACCUUGACGGUACCUAACGAGGAAGCCCCGGCUAACUACGUGCCAGCAGCCGCGGUAAUACGUAGGGGGCAAGCGUUGUCCGGAAUUAUUGGGCGUAAAGCGCGCGCAGGCGGUUUCUUAAGUCUGAUGUGAAAGCCCACGGCUCAACCGUGGAGGGUCAUUGGAAACUGGGGAACUUGAGGACA
This 560-nucleotide ribosomal RNA is filed under the name Halobacillus sp. NH88-79. Its description in RNAcentral is "bacterial SSU rRNA". It matches the Rfam family "Bacterial small subunit ribosomal RNA", at positions 106 to 650 of the family's 1533-position model. Lineage: Bacteria; Bacillati; Bacillota; Bacilli; Caryophanales; Bacillaceae. The record is from RNAcentral.